GUGGUCUCUGCUGAGGCCAGGACAGUCUUUCCUCCCGUCCUUUCCUCCUACCUUAGCAUUCAGGGGAGAUCUGAGGCAAGGGCUCUUGUAAACAUCCCUUACUUUCUGUUACUGGCAUUGGACCGUGGCACACAGUGGCCACUGAGGUUUGGAUCUUCCCCCAUCUCUCCAGCCUUGUCUCCUGUUGCCCCCGUGUCUCCUACCUGCCUCACACCAUGCAGCAGAUUCUUCCAAAUUCCCUUGCCACACCCCACCUCGAUGCUUUGCUCAUGCUGGACCCUCUGCUGGAAAUCCCCUUUCUACUUUGCUUAUUGAUUUAUUUUUAAAAUCCUUCAGAGACUCCACUUGGGCACCACUUCUUCCAGGAAGCUCUGCCUGCACCCUUACAUUGGUCCUCCCCUGUCUCUCCCAGCUGCCCUCUCAGUGCUGGCCACGUCCUCUUGAGCAGUGUGUGUAUGUAUCUGUGUGUGUCCUCUUCUGGAGCUCACACUUUCAUGAUGCUCUCCUAUUCGCAUGAGGCACCGAGUGAAUAUUUGUUUGGUUAUAUUGGGUUCAGUGCUUUGAAAUCAGACCUAGAUGUUUUGAUCCAGCUCAGUCAUUCUGACCACGAGAGAGUAAUAUUCCCGUUGAUUAAUUUCUCAGGUGAAGGUCCAACAACUGGCUUACAAGAACCAACUGAGGUGCAGUUUGGGAAACGCUUCAGGAAGCAAUAUGAUCCUGUUCUUAAAUUCAUUCAGCAAAUAUUAUAGAGUGUCCGCUGGGCCCAGGCACACACAGUGCCCGAGGUAUUAGGGAGCCAUAGAGACAAAGGUCUCUGCCUUUGUAGGGAUGGCAUCCUAGCAGGAAGAGACAGAAUGGACAAGAAACUUCAGAUAGUAUGUCAGAGGAUAAGUGCUAUGAAAGAAAAACCAGAGCAAGGUCAAGGGGGUGAAGAGAAUGCUGGUGCUAGAGCAGUUUUGUGUAUAUAUUUUGUGUUUGCAUUUAAAAAAAUAAUUUCAUUGAGUUAUAAUUUACCCAGAGUAAAACACACAGGUUUUCUGUGUAUAAAUAUUCUUUUGUGUCUGGCUUUUACUUAUGUGUUUGAGACUCCUCAGUUACGUGUAUCAGUAGUUUAUUCGUUUUUAGUGCUGAGUAGGGUUCCACUGAAGGAACAUACCACAGUUUACUUAUCCGUUCACCUGUUGAUCAUCAUUUGGGUUUUUGUUAGAUGCCGAGACAGAGUUAGAAGUAGGUUUAUUGGAGAUAAAAGGAGGGGGAAGGCAGGGAAAGUCUUCAGGUGGCAGAGCAGGUUGGACAUCUCUGGAAGGAAAGGGAGAAGGAAGGAGGUCUGGAUGUGCCUCAGAAGGUGGCGCAGGCCUGAGCAAGUCUGGGCCAGCCCAGCAGGAAGUUCCAGCUCUGCGCUGGGCAGAACUGGCCAGGUCCUGGACACCUGCGCUGUCACAGGAGGGCCUCUGUGGCUGUUGAGGGCCGUGUCUAGUUUCUGGCUGCUAAGAGAAGGUGCGCCUCAGCACCUUCCCGCACGAGUGGAUUUUGUGGACACAGGCGCCCUGUUCUCUUGGGCGUGUGCCUCAGGAUGGGGUUGCUGGACGAUGGGAUAGGCCAUGCCAGAAACUGCUGUGAACUGCUUUCUCCAACUAGUGCAUUUCACCCUUCAGUCAGCAGGGCGUGGCAGUCAUGGUGGCUCUCCAUCCUCACUUGCUGUCAUUUGCAUUAGGUUUUUUUUUUUUCCCUGUUAAUUACAUUGGUUUCCUGUGGUUGCUGUAACAAGUGACCACAGGCUGGGUGGCUUAACACAAAUUUCUUCCAUUUCUGUAGAAGUCCAACAUGGACAAAAAUCAAGGUGUCCGCAGAGCCUUCCUGUCUGGAGGUUUAAGGGCAAAUUCAUUUAUGUGGCUUUUCCAGCUCCUAGAGGCCACCCCCAUUCUUUGGCUUGUGGCCCUACCCUCCAUCUUCAAGUACAGCAGCAUGGCAUAUCUAGCCAUUCUUCCACAGUCACAUGCCCCUUGGAACACAGUCCAGAUAGGUUCUCUGAUUUUAAGAGCCGCGUGAUUAACUUAGGCCGCCCACAUUAUCCAGAAUGGUUUCAUCCCCAGGUCCUCGACUCACGUUCUGAGGCACAGCCCCUUUUGUCGUGUAAGGUGACCUAUUCACACGUUAUGGAGGAGUAGGACAGGGAUAGGUUUUGAGGCCAUUCUACUUACCACAUUAAAUAUUUUAAAUUUUAGCCUUUCCAGGCUUCAUUGAAAUUUUAAUUUACAUUUCCCCAUAUCUUUUCGUGUGCUUAUUGGCCACUCAUAAGAUUUCUUUGUAAAGAGUGUCUCUGAGUCUUUGUCCAUUAAAAAAAAUCAGGCUCUUUGCUUUCUUAUUGAAUUCUUUAUAUAUUCUGGAUGCAGUUGUUCCCUCAGGUAUGUGUGUUGUGAGUAUUGUCUCUCAGUCUUCGGCUUGCUUUUCAUAAUGGUGUCUUUGGAAGAGCACAAGUUUUAAUUUGGAUGAACUCUAGCUUGUCGGUUGUUCUUUUUUAUGGCUAGUGCUUUUUGUGUCCUGUCCCAGAAAUCUCUGUCUAUUGUAAGGUCACAAAGGUUUUCUCUUAUAUUUCUGUUCAAAGUUUUAUAGUUGUAGAUUGCAUAUUUGUUUCUCUGAUAUAUAAUCUGAGUUAUUUGUGUAUUAAGUGGAAUAGGGAUUGAGGUUCUUUUUUUUUGACAUUUAUUUAUUUUUGAGAGAAAAAGAGAGCAUGAGCAGGGGUAGGGGCAGAGAGAGAGAGAGAGAGAGAGAGGGAGACACAGAAUCCAAAGCAGGCUCCAGGCUCGGAGCUGUCAGCACCGAGCCCAAUGCGGGGCUUGAACUCACGAACCGUGAGAUCAUGACCUGAGCUGAAGUCAGACGCUUAACUGACUGAGCCACCCAGGCGCCCCUGUUUUUCAGGGUUGGGAUACUCAGGUGUUAGAGCACCAAGUGAUGAACGACCAUCCUUUGCCUUAUUUAGUUUCCUUGGCAUUUCUGUCAAAACACAGUCAACCGUAGAUGGAUAAACAAAACUUGGUAUAUCCAUUCAGUGGAAUAUUACUCAGCCACAAAGAGGUACAAAGUACUGACAGAUGCUACAACACAGGCAAAGCUUGAAAACAUAAGCCAAAUGAGAGAAGGCAGACGCAAAAGGCCACAGAUUAUAUAAUUCCGUUUAUAUAAAAUGUACGAAUGAAUGGGCCAGUUCAUAGGGACAGAAAAUGGUUGUGCAGGGCUGAGGCUGGUGUCGUGUGAAUAGGAAGUGACUGCUUAAUAGGUACAGGGUUUCUCUUUGGGGUAAUGAGAAAAGUUCUAAAACAAGAUAGUGGUGAUAGUCACAGUUGUACAACAUUGUGAAUGGAAUAAAAACCACGGAAUUACAGGCUUUAAAUGGUAAUUUUUGUUAUGUGUAUUUUACCACACACAAAAAUCAUUUCACCAUAUAUUUCUGACCUCUUCAUUCUUUCACUGAUCAUAUGUCUGUUCUUAGUCUCAUACCACACUGUCUUGGUUUGCGCCCCUCUAGUAAGUCUUUUAAUAUCAGGUAGUUAAAAAAAAUUUUUUUAACGUUUUAAUUUGUUUUUAAGAGAGAGAAAACGAGCAGGGGAGGGGCAGGGGCAGAGAGGGAGACACAGAAUCUGAAGCAGGCUCCAGGCUCUGAGCUGUCAACACAGAGCCCAUUGUGGGGCUUGAACUUAUGAACUGUGAGAUCAUGACCUGAUCCAAAGUCAGACACUUAACCAACUGAGCCACCUAGGUGCCCCUAAGAUCACGUAGUUUUAAAUUCAGACUUGUUCUACCCCCCAACCCCACCAAAUCACUUUAUAUGUACAUUCUUUACAUUUAUAUAUUAACUUUAAAAUCUGCUUGUCUGUUUCUUGAAAAGAGCUUGCUGGGAUUUUGAUUGAAAUCAUAUUACAUACCAUUUUGAGAAUGGACAUUUUAAUAAUGUUGAAUAUGUUUUGUGACUGUUGUGAAAAGUGUUAUUUAUUUAU
This is a long non-coding RNA of Neofelis nebulosa (Clouded leopard), 3998 nucleotides long. RefSeq lists it as uncharacterized. The record is from RefSeq and is a predicted model, not a curated record. The transcript is spliced from 3 exons. Lineage: Eukaryota; Metazoa; Chordata; Mammalia; Carnivora; Felidae.